Molecule: transfer RNA, 82 nt
Filed under: Ixodes scapularis (black-legged tick)
Lineage: Eukaryota; Metazoa; Arthropoda; Arachnida; Ixodida; Ixodidae
Rfam family: tRNA
About the family: Transfer RNA (tRNA) molecules are approximately 80 nucleotides in length. Their secondary structure includes four short double-helical elements and three loops (D, anti-codon, and T loops). Further hydrogen bonds mediate the characteristic L-shaped molecular structure. tRNAs have two regions of fundamental functional importance: the anti-codon, which is responsible for specific mRNA codon recognition, and the 3' end, to which the tRNAs corresponding amino acid is attached (by aminoacyl-tRNA synthetases). tRNAs cope with the degeneracy of the genetic code in two manners: having more than one tRNA (with a specific anti-codon) for a particular amino acid; and 'wobble' base-pairing, i.e. permitting non-standard base-pairing at the 3rd anti-codon position.
Source: Rfam by way of RNAcentral
GCAGUCGUGGCCGAGUGGUUGAGGCAAUGGACUAGAAAUCCAUUGGGGUCUCCCCGCACAGGUUUGAAUCCUGUUGACUGCA